Molecule: unclassified non-coding RNA, 171 nt
Filed under: uncultured Metapochonia
Lineage: Eukaryota; Fungi; Ascomycota; Sordariomycetes; Hypocreales; Clavicipitaceae
Description: sequence contains ITS1
Source: RNAcentral
CCGAGUUAUUCUACUCCCAAACCCCUGUGAACUUAUACCUUUACUGUUGCUUCGGCGGGUUAACGCCCCGGAAGGCCCGCGAGGGCCGCCGGAACCAGGCGCCCGCCGGGGGACCCAAACUCUUAGUCUUUGCAGCGGCAUUCUCUGAGUCUCACAAACAAAAAUGAAUCA